RNAcentral lists this ribosomal RNA (374 nucleotides) under uncultured bacterium. Its description in RNAcentral is "bacterial SSU rRNA". It matches the Rfam family "Bacterial small subunit ribosomal RNA", at positions 521 to 896 of the family's 1533-position model. The record is from RNAcentral.
UAAAACGGAGGGGGCAAGCGUUGUCCGGAAUCACUGGGCGUAAAGGGAGCGCAGGUGUUCCAAUAAGUCGGAUGUUUAAUCCUUCGGCUCAACUGAAGGCGUGCGUCCGAAACUGUUGGGAUAGAGCACAGCAGAGGGAAAUGGAACUCCUGGUGUAGCGGUGGAAUGCGUAGAUAUCAGGAGGAAUACCGAUGGCGAAGGCAAUUUCCUGGGCUGUUGCUGACACUGAGGCUCGAAAGCUGGGGGAGCAAACAGGAUUAGAUACCCUGGUAGUCCCAGCUGUAAACGAUGAGCACUAGGUGUAGGACUCUUGUGGUUCUGUACCGAAGCUAACGCAUUAAGUGCUCCGCCUGGGGAGUACGCCCGCAAGGGUG